AUUCAUACUUGAAUAGUUUUUGGAAGCUGCUAACUUUCAUGAUAGUUUAUAGCUACUAUUAGUU
Molecule: transfer RNA, 64 nt
Filed under: Argyroneta aquatica (water spider)
Lineage: Eukaryota; Metazoa; Arthropoda; Arachnida; Araneae; Dictynidae
Description: tRNA-Ser
Source: RNAcentral